AACAUUUCGAUAUUGGAAUCACUUUCCUUCUUCCUCGGGCCAGCCUUUGCUCUGUCCCCUCAGGUCAACUCAAGGUAGACAGUGUGGCGACUGGAGAGGUCGGGGAACAAGCUUUGUUUCAGCUAAGGGGAAAACAAGCGUUCACAGGAGUCCCCUGACACCUCCCACUCGGAAGAUAGCUAACGGGGGUCCUGCCAACCCUUCCCAUCCAACUUCCAUCUGAAAAGGAUUUUCUGCUAAAGUUGGGUCCAUGGCCAUCCAGCACCUGUAAGGCCGGCAGGAGCGUCUGCCCUCUACUCAGUUAAAGCCUGAAGUCGUUUCCUUUCGAUGGCCCUUAGGAGGCCCAAAAGAGGGGCGACAGAACAUGAUGUUGACACGGGCUGGGCGCCCCCAGAAGCCCGGGAACAAACGUUUCUACUUUCCAGGUCCACUGGUGUUUGGUGUACCCAUGUGACUAAUUUGUCCAAAGAGAGAUUUCUGUGAAUAGACCAGAAGCCGACCUUUACAGUGUGUUUGGGUGCAGAUUCUAGAGGAUGUCUGUGUGCCUUUCUCCCCUUUCAAACGAUAGGGAAGAUAUACUGAGUCCUGUCUUCAGCUAGGGGAUGCCCUGGCCUCCUUCCUAUCUUCAAAGCCUGCAAGAGUGGGCUGAGUCCUUCUCACUCCACCCUCUUCUUUUGUGUACCUUUUCCACUUGUAAGGACCCUUGUAAUUGCAUUGGAUUCACCUGGAUAACCCAGACUGAUCUCCCUAUUUUAAGGUCAGUUGAUUAACAAACUUUUUGCUAUGUAAUUUAACAUAGGUUCUAGGAAUUAGGAUGUGGUGGAAAGGUAUUUUUGCACCAGUCGCAAAUGACUUAGUUAUCAGUUUCAUUUUAUUAUCAGAAAUCAACUCAUUUUGUUAUCAAAGUUAUUUGCUAUUCUUUGCUACUUCAUUCAAAACUGGAAUCCUGAGUAGUGCUCAUUUGGACAUAAAGCCCCAUGGUUCUACCCACUUGCUUUGGUUGUACUAUUGAGAGCAGAAACUUCAAAUCCAGGAUCUGUUGUCCUCUAGGGAGUCCUGUAAUUCAUUCUGCUUCUUCCUGGAGGAGUUGCAAAAGGGAGCCCCCACUGGGUGGAGCAAUUAGAAAGUGGUUCCAGGACUCAUGGUUUGGUGAGAAGAUAAAGGAUAGAUUUCAGCACCACCCCAGCAGGGUACAACCUACACACAGCAGCCCUCCCACCUCACUUAGAGUUUCUAUAGACUAUGCCCCAUGUUUUCAGCCUCUGCCUUAAACAUUUAUUUGCUCUAAGCUUCUAAAGGGUAACCUGUGUCUUAUAAAGUCCCUUUACGGCUUAUCUUAGUGCUGAGGACGGGGUAAACCCUCUGGACCCUGUCUUGCUGUGAUCUACAAGUGACAAUACAAAACCACACCCUCUUUUUAGACAAAAUUUAGGCAUUUAAAAAUAAUAGUUUAUAGAUUUCUAGCUAUGUAAGAUGAUUUAUUGAGUGAUUAAAAGCAAUCUUAUUUAUGAUAAGUUAAAAAAAUCAGGAUUCAUCUUCUAUACAUUUCUGCUCACAGUUAGAAUCUGAAUGUCCUGUCAUCUGUGUAGGCUCAAGGAAUUAGCUACUCAGAGAACCCAGAAAUGGCCAGGAGCCCUUGGAAGAACAGUCUCUCUGUGACCCCAUUAGCUUCGAGUCCCAGUUUCCCUGGAAAAAGUAGGGUGAGGUGUCUGACAUUUUAUUGAGAUAAAUUUUCUGGAAUAGGGUUCACUCCAAGUAGAACUUCCCUGCUCUUAGGUUUAUUAAGUUUCCUAGAUAUUUGGGGAAGGAAUUCUAGAUGUCUUGCGGUCAUUUUCUCAUUCUGCAAGUUCUGCUGAAAUCCAGCAUAUCAAGGAACAGUUGGAAGCACAGUAUGUCUAAGAGGGAGUUUUGAAAAUACAUAGAGGAAUUUAGAAAGAAGUUUUAGGACACGAAUUACAAACUUCAACUAGUUCCUAACUUUUUUGGGGCUGUUUUUGAAUGAAAAGUUGUGAUGGAUUUCUAGUACAGUCAUGCACUGCUUAGUGAUGGGAAUAUAUUUUGAGAAAUGUGUCAUUAGAUGAUUUCAUCACACGCACUUUAUACAAUGUACUUACACAAACCUAGAUGGUAUAGCCUACUACACACCUAGGCUAUGUGGGAUAGCCUAUUGCUCCUAGGCUACAAACCUGUACAGCAUGUUAUUGUACUGAAUGCUGUAGGCAAUUGUAAUACAAUGGUAAAUAUUUGU
Long non-coding RNA from Homo sapiens (human), 2248 nucleotides. Ensembl annotates it as ARRDC3 antisense RNA 1. Its record names the gene ARRDC3-AS1. The record is from Ensembl. Lineage: Eukaryota; Metazoa; Chordata; Mammalia; Primates; Hominidae.